RNAcentral lists this ribosomal RNA (500 nucleotides) under uncultured bacterium. RNAcentral's name for it is "partial 16S ribosomal RNA". It matches the Rfam family "Bacterial small subunit ribosomal RNA", at positions 30 to 523 of the family's 1533-position model. The record is from RNAcentral.
AUUGAACGCUGGCGGAAUGCUUUACACACGCAAGUCGAACGGCAGCACGGACUUCGGUCUGGUGGCGAGUGGCGAACGGGUGAGUAAUGUAUCGGAACGUGCCCAGUCGUGGGGGAUAACGUAGUGAAAAUUACGCUAAUACCACAUACGAUCUAUGGAUGAACGCGGGGGAUCGAAAGACCGCGCGCGAUUGGAGCGGCCGAUAUCAGAUUAGGUAGUUGGUGGGGUAAAGGCCCACCAAGCCAACGAUCUGUAGCUGGUCUGAGAGGACGACCAGCCACACUGGAACUGAGACACGGUCCAGACUCCUACGGGAGGCAGCAGUGGGGAAUUUUGGACAAUGGGCGAAAGCCUGAUCCAGCCAUUCCGCGUGCAGGAUGAAGGCCCUCGGGUUGUAAACUGCUUUUGUACAGAACGAAAAGGUUUCUACUAAUACUAGGAGCUCAUGACGGUACUGUAAGAAUAAGCACCGGCUAACUACGUGCCAGCAGCCGCCGUAA